This 425-nucleotide ribosomal RNA is filed under the name uncultured prokaryote. RNAcentral's name for it is "bacterial SSU rRNA". It matches the Rfam family "Bacterial small subunit ribosomal RNA", at positions 355 to 796 of the family's 1533-position model. The record is from RNAcentral.
UAACGAAUCUUCCGCAAUGCGCGAAAGCGUGACGGAGCAAUGCCGCGUGCAGGAUGAAGCCCCUCGGGGUGUAAACUGCUGUCAGGGAAUAGGAACACAAUGACCAAACCCAAAGGAAGGGCCGGCUAACUUCGUGCCAGCAGCCGCGGUAAUACGAAGGGCCCAAGCGUUAUUCAGAGUCACUGGGCUUAAAGCGUACGCAGGCUGACACGCAGGCAUCUUGUGAAAUCCCUCCGCUCAACGGAGGAACUGCUCGGUGAACCGUGUGUCUUGAGAUUGGUAGGGGCUGUCGGAACGAUCGGUGGAGUGGUGAAAUGCGUUGAUAUCGAUCGGAACGCCGAAGGAGAAAUCAGGCAGCUGGGCCAUAUCUGACGCUCAUGUACGAAAGCGUGGGGAGCGAACGGGAUUAGAUACCCCCGUAGUCC